UCUCAUGGUCAACCUCAUUGACGAGACACACUGGUAUCGAUUCAGUCCCAGAUGAUAGGUCACGUAGUACAACCCUGCCUCUUGUUGAUGGAUCUUGUAUCCAUCGCUGAGUCAUCUUCCAGAUUGCAGCUCCAUCACGCUGUCCAGGUUCACGGUGCAACCUGUACUUGAAGCAAUUGAUGCCAAAUUUUGUUUUCUCCUUCCAGGACUCUUGGAUCUUAUAAAGGCCAUCAUAUAUGUAGAUUUUGCCAGCUACCAUAGCUGGAUCUUUGAAUCCCCUCACAACCCUUAUCUCAUUCUUCCUGUGCGUACUCCUCUCAAGGGCAAGGUUGCCCCUCUCAAGCUUCUGGUC
RNAcentral lists this long non-coding RNA (352 nucleotides) under Hordeum vulgare. Its description in RNAcentral is "long non-coding RNA (HVUL_LNC002195)". Lineage: Eukaryota; Viridiplantae; Streptophyta; Magnoliopsida; Poales; Poaceae. The record is from RNAcentral.